AUUGAACGCUGGCGGCAUGCCUUACACAUGCAAGUCGAACGGUAACAGGUUAAGCUGACGAGUGGCGAACGGGUGAGUAAUGUAUCGGAACGUGCCCAGUCGUGGGGGAUAACUGCUCGAAAGAGCCGCUAAUACCGCAUACGACCUGAGGGUGAAAGCGGGGGAUCGCAAGACCUCGCGCGCUUGGAGCGGCCGAUAUCAGAUUAGGUAGUUGGUGAGGUAAAGGCUCACCAAGCCGACGAUCUGUAGCUGGUCUGAGAGGACGACCAGCCACACUGGGACUGAGACACGGCCCAGACUCCUACGGGAGGCAGCAGUGGGGAAUUUUGGACAAUGGGCGCAAGCCUGAUCCAGCCAUGCCGCGUGCGGGAAGAAGGCCUUCGGGUUGUAAGCCGCUUUUGUCAGGGAAGAAAAGGUUCUGGCUAAUACCUGGGACUCAUGACGGUACCUGAAGAAUAAGCACCGGCUAACUACGUG
Molecule: ribosomal RNA, 477 nt
Filed under: uncultured bacterium
Lineage: Bacteria
Description: partial 16S ribosomal RNA
Rfam family: Bacterial small subunit ribosomal RNA
Source: RNAcentral